RNAcentral lists this ribosomal RNA (454 nucleotides) under uncultured Streptococcus sp. RNAcentral describes it as "bacterial SSU rRNA". It matches the Rfam family "Bacterial small subunit ribosomal RNA", at positions 924 to 1382 of the family's 1533-position model. The record is from RNAcentral. Lineage: Bacteria; Bacillati; Bacillota; Bacilli; Lactobacillales; Streptococcaceae.
CACAAGCGUGGAGCAUGUGGUUAAUUCGACGCAACGCGAAGAACCUUACCAGGCUUGACAUCCCCUGACCGCGUAUGAAGUACGUUUUCACCUCGGGUGACAGGGAGACAGGUGGUGCAUGGUUGUCGUCAGCUCGUGUCGUGAGAUGUUGGGUUAAGUCCCGCAACGAGCGCAACCCCUAUUGUUAGUUGCCAUCAUUCAGUUGGGCACUCUAGCGAGACUGCCGGUAAUAAACCGGAGGAAGGUGGGGAUGACGUCAAAUCAUCAUGCCCCUUAUGACCUGGGCUACACACGUGCUACAAUGGUUGGUACAACGAGUUGCGAGUCGGUGACGGCGAGCUAAUCUCUUAAAGCCAAUCUCAGUUCGGAUUGUAGGCUGCAACUCGCCUACAUGAAGUCGGAAUCGCUAGUAAUCGCGGAUCAGCACGCCGCGGUGAAUACGUUCCCGGGCCUU